Long non-coding RNA from Gossypium raimondii (Peruvian cotton), 1656 nucleotides. RefSeq lists it as uncharacterized. The record is from RefSeq and is a predicted model, not a curated record. NCBI's taxonomy places the organism in Eukaryota, Viridiplantae, Streptophyta, Magnoliopsida, Malvales, Malvaceae. The transcript is spliced from 2 exons.
AUGAGUUAUAAAGAUAAAUAAAGUUACGGGAUAAUGAAUAUCCUAUUUGUGUUGUAUAUUCAAAUAGGGUUGACAAUGAUUGAAUUUGAUAUUAUUACGAUCUUAUCCGUUCACGGAUCCAUGAAUCACAAUAUUACACAUUCACACCCUCGCCCACAGUCUGACACACUCUUCCACUCCCUAUAUAAACAGCAUUACCCCCAAACCAUCAAAUCACGCGUCAGUAUCCAAUCUAAAUUCAAAACCAAGUGGUAGCUCAGCUCUGCGGAGAAGAUGAAGCACAGUGGAAAGAAUAGCAAAGGCAAUGGAAAGCAAUCCGAUGUGAGGAAAGAUAGGAAAUCGGGUACGGGAAUGAACGGAUCGCCCAAGAAAGGAGGUCAUGGUGGCAAGUUCACUUGGGUUGGAGAUGGCCUUUCGCCUGCCGAGAUCGGGGUUGAAACAGAGCUUGUCGAUGUCACGGAUCCUAAUUUCGAAGAUCCCUAUGAGAUCCUGGCCGAUUGAUUGGCUUCAUCAUCGCUUUUGCUUCUCUACUUUGGUUGUAAAUAUUUCAGCAACUCAAUGAAUAAAUUGUAAUGCUUGCCAUUUCCUCUACUGCUUAUAUUCUGGCGAUGUUGUCUUAAGCUGAAGGCAAAUGAAAUUGUUCAAAAAUCUUAAAAAAUCCAAGUGAUUUGAAUUGGAUGAUUUAUUACCUGUUUCAUCAAUUCAAUUAAAACUUAGCCAAAAAAACAAACAUAUGCCAGUACAUUCAAGAAAAAAAAACUAAAAAUCUACAAUUCAUCUGUGGGAUGGAAGAUCAAGUUUAAAUGCAUAAUGCAUGGGCAUUAACAACAAUUCUGGAGGAUGGUUACAUUACAUACCUUGUCGGCAUUGUUUUGGGAUUUUGGGUUUCUUGUACACGUUAAUUCAUGGCAGUAUGCUCUUGUAGGAAGUAUGUGUUUCAGUUUCUACACUGCUAGGCCUCUUAUUUAUGUCGCUGCUGGCUACAAUGAAAUCACACUUCGACAUGCAGAGAAUGAGAGCUUCCACCAGGAGAUAAUAUAACAAGCAGAUAGGGACAAGAAGUGCAUUUGAGACGAACAUAACGCUAAUGCCAAAUCAGGUUGAAUGAACUUAUUGAUUUUUGCAUUAGUUGGUCUAUUUGCCUUAAUUCUCGAUGCCAAUGCUAUUCCCAUUUUGUUGUUCCCUUCAUGAAAGCUGUGACUAUAGUAUGAAAUUCUGACAUAGAAAUACCUGAAAUAAGGCUCAGUACUGAUGAUUGAUUUUAAUGUAAUCUGGCAAGGAAGUAAGUGAAUUUUCUAUAAUCUAGAUCUCUCUCAUGUCCCUCACUCUCACUGAAGUAUAUUGCUGUCUCAAGGGUAGGUCCAUCUUGCAGAAUUCAUGUGAGUUUUCCAUCAAGGACUAAGGAGGCAUGCUUGACAGCUCUAGCAACUCUCCAAACUUCAUGUUGUACCACAUGCCAUGAUUCGGCAGUGUUCAGAUUCUUUGCAUUUUCAAUUGCAUCAUCUAUUCCUGGGAAGGAUGUAGAUCCAUAAUCAUUGUGCCUUGAUGGUGCAUAAAUCUGCAUGUCACAAUGUCGGUAUUUAGUCCAUUUAGUAAAAACUAUAAUAAUGAAUAAUAUAUAUCUAGAGGUUUCCAUCUUCGGAUUAUGAUAUCUAA